GACACCAAAAAACACCUGGGGACACCUGGGGACAUUGGGGACAUUGGGGACAUUGGGGACAUCCCUGGGGACAUUGGGGACACCUGGGGACACCAAAAUACACCCAAAUACACCUGGGGACACCUGGGGACAUUGGGGACACUUUGGGGACAUCCCUGGGGACACCUGGAGACACCAAAAUACACCUGGAGACACCAAAAUACACCUGGGACACCUGGGGACAUUGGGGACACCAAAAAAUACCUGGGGACAUUGGGGACACUUUGGGGACAUCCCUGGGGACAUUGGGGACACCCAAAUACACCCAAAUACACCUGGGGACACCUGGGGACAUUGGGGACACCAAAAAACACCUGGGACAUCCCUGGGGACAUUGGGGACACCUGGGAACACCAAAAAACACCUGGGGACAUUGGGGACACUUUGGGGACAUCCCUGGGGACAUUGGGGACACCCAAAAGCACCUGGGGACACCAAAAAACACCUGGGGACACCAAAAAACACCUGGGACACCUGGGGACAUUGGGGACACUUUGGGGACACCUGGAGACACCAAAAUACACCUGGGGACACUUUGGGGACACCUGGGGACGCUUUGGGGACACCAAAAUACACCUGGGGACAUUGGGGACACCAAAAAACACCUGGGGACAUCCCUGGGGACAUUGGGGACACCUGGGGACACCCAAAUACACCUGGGGACACCAAAAAACACCUGGGGACACCUGGGGACAUCCCUGGGACAUUGGGGACACCCAAAUACACCUGGGGACAUCGGGGACACCUGGGGACACCAAAAAACACCUGGGGACACCAAAAUACACCUGGGGACAUCCCUGGGGACACCUGGGGACAUUGGGGACACCCAAAUACACCCAAAUACACCUGGGGACAUUGGGGACAUUGGGGACACCAAAAAACACCUGGGGACACCCAAAUACACCUGGGGACACUUUGGGGACAUCUCUGGGACAUCUGGGGACACUUUGGGGACACCAAAAAACACCCAAAUACACCCAAAUACACCCAAAUACACCUGGGGACACUGGGGACAGUGGGGACAUUGGGGACACCAAAAUACACCCAAAUACACCCAAAAUACACCUGGGGACACUUUGGGGACAUCCCUGGGGACAUUGGGGACAUUGGGGACACUUUGGGGACAGCUGGGGACAUCCCUGGGGACACCUGGGGACACCUGGGACACCCAAAUACACCUGGGGACAUUGGGGACAUUGGGAACAUUGGGGACACCCAAAUACACCCAAAUACACCCAAAUACACCUGGGGACACCAAAAAACACCUGGGGACACUUUGGGGACAUCCCUGGGGACAUUGGGGACACCCAAAUACACCUGGGGACAUUGGGGACACCUGGGGACACUUUGGGGACAUUGGGGACACCUGGAGACACCAAAAUACACCUGGGGACAUCCCUGGGGACAUCCCUGGGGACACCUGGGGACACCAAAAAACACCCAAAUACACCAAAAAACACCUGGGGACACCAAAAUACACCUGGGGACAUUGGGGACAUUGCGGACACCCAAAUACACCUGGGGACACCCAAAUAAAUACACCUGGGGACACCUGGGGACAUUUUGGGGACAUCCC
RNAcentral lists this long non-coding RNA (1615 nucleotides) under Zonotrichia albicollis (white-throated sparrow). RNAcentral's name for it is "lncRNA (ENSZALG00000002071.1)". Lineage: Eukaryota; Metazoa; Chordata; Aves; Passeriformes; Passerellidae. The record is from RNAcentral.